CCUACGGGGGGCAGCAGUGGGGAAUAUUGGACAAUGGGGGGAACCCUGAUCCAGCCAUGCCGCGUGUGUGAAGAAGGCCCUCGGGUUGUAAAGCACUUUCAGUGAGGAAGAACGCCUGGUGGUUAAUACCCAUCAGGAAAGACAUCACUCACAGAAGAAGCACCGGCUAACUCCGUGCCAGCAGCCGCGGUAAUACGGAGGGUGCGAGCGUUAAUCGGAAUUACUGGGCGUAAAGCGCGCGUAGGUGGCUUGAUAAGCCGGUUGUGAAAGCCCCGGGCUCAACCUGGGAACGGCAUCCGGAACUGUCAAGCUAGAGUGCAGGAGAGGAAGGUAGAAUUCCCGGUGUAGCGGUGAAAUGCGUAGAGAUCGGGAGGAAUACCAGUGGCGAAGGCGGCCUUCUGGACUGACACUGACACUGAGGUGCGAAAGCGUGGGUAGCAAACAGGAUUAGAUAGCCGAGUAGUC
RNAcentral lists this ribosomal RNA (465 nucleotides) under Vreelandella stevensii. Its description in RNAcentral is "partial 16S ribosomal RNA". It matches the Rfam family "Bacterial small subunit ribosomal RNA", at positions 338 to 795 of the family's 1533-position model. Lineage: Bacteria; Pseudomonadati; Pseudomonadota; Gammaproteobacteria; Oceanospirillales; Halomonadaceae. The record is from RNAcentral.